RNAcentral lists this transfer RNA (77 nucleotides) under Chitinophagaceae bacterium. Its description in RNAcentral is "tRNA-Met". It matches the Rfam family "tRNA". Rfam says of the family: Transfer RNA (tRNA) molecules are approximately 80 nucleotides in length. Their secondary structure includes four short double-helical elements and three loops (D, anti-codon, and T loops). Further hydrogen bonds mediate the characteristic L-shaped molecular structure. tRNAs have two regions of fundamental functional importance: the anti-codon, which is responsible for specific mRNA codon recognition, and the 3' end, to which the tRNAs corresponding amino acid is attached (by aminoacyl-tRNA synthetases). tRNAs cope with the degeneracy of the genetic code in two manners: having more than one tRNA (with a specific anti-codon) for a particular amino acid; and 'wobble' base-pairing, i.e. permitting non-standard base-pairing at the 3rd anti-codon position. Lineage: Bacteria; Pseudomonadati; Bacteroidota; Chitinophagia; Chitinophagales; Chitinophagaceae. The record is from RNAcentral.
GCCGGGGUAGCUCAGCUGGUUAGAGCACAGGAUUCAUAACCCUGAGGUCGGCAGUUCAAGUCUGCUCCCCGGUACCA